GAUCUCCCACGGCUGUCGUGUCUUAUGCCUUCAUUUUUUGGACUGUGAGCCUCACUACCUGCAACAGAUAAAGUGAAGAUUCCCGGGCUCUGCGCAAGCGGGGUCUGCCGGGAGCCCUCAGGGUGGAGCCCGGGAAUCGGAAUUUUAAACAGCGCCCGGGUGGCUCUUGGGCACACGCAAGUUGGAGAGUUGUUAGGCCAUACCUCCCUGAGCUGAUGGUACGAAACUAACGACCUACAGGGUAACCAUUUAGAAAAUUUAAAAAACUCUAAAGCAAUGGUUCUUAACGCUGACAGCAUGGACCAGGUGUUAAAUUUAUCUGGGAGCUUUUAGAGUAUUCAGAUGCCAAGGUGAGUUCUGAGUGUGAACAUUGGUAUUUUGUUUGUUUUAAAGCUUCCCAGAUAAUUCUAACUUAUGGCCAGGAUUGAGAACAAUUGUGCUAGAAUCAUCUCUUUCCAGCGCACCUAGUUCAGGUGUCUGGGCAAGGAACCCCAUCCUCUCACCCCCGCAAAUCUCGACAACAGAAAACAAGUAAAUACACAAACUCCCAGGGGAGUGCUCACAGGCAAAACUGUUUUCAACCAGAACAAAGACUCUCCUUGAAAAAGGUGACCAACAUACCUUACUGCCACCUGAGCACCGCUCUCCUUAACUGCAGGAAAAGUAUCUUUUAUGAGCCAAAACCUGUUAACUGAGUUAUGAAUGACAAUACAUGAACCCUGUAAAAUAAUAUUCUACUAUAUUCCUACAUAUUUGUUACCCACUGUUAAACCACUGCCGGGUCAGACCAAGCAUUCAAAAGCCAAGGGUGUGUUGGACAUCAGCCCUGGCUUUUCCAAUGACUUGACUUGCAUCACUUCGCUCUGCUCUUCUAGUGACCUUAAGUGACCACAAUCAGGAUUUUUGGACAGGUACAGUAAAUUCCCUUUCUUGCGCCUUUUGGCUCUCCUAGUUAUGUUUUGCCUUCUUAGAUGGGUGGGCCAUAACUUCCAUCUCAUUUGCCUCUAUGUAGGUCUCCAUUAGUGUCUCCCAUUUAGCAGCAACUAAUUAGUAACUAAGCCAGUGAUUCUGCUUUUUCUCCAAAUCCCCCCAGUACAUAGUUGUAUAUUUUAGUUGUGGGUCAUUCUCGUUGUAGCAUGUGGGACGCUGCCUCAGCAUGGCCUGAUAAGUGGUGCCAUGUCCGCGCCGAGGAUCCAAACCAGCAAAACCCUGGGCCGCCAGAGCAGAGCAUGAGAACUUCACCACUCGGCCGUGGGGCUGGCCCCUAAGCCAAUGAUUCUUAAACACUUUAUGCAACAGGAGUGUUUGGUGGAUCUUACGUGGUAUUGUACUGGAAGGAAGAGUUAAGCCUUCGAUUCCCCAAGCUGUUGAAAGGAUCCAGUCUUCCCCAGUGCUGUUGCCAUCUUCCAGGGAAGUGUCUUUGACUUUGGUCUUGAAGAGAGUUUUAUCCCCCCAUGUCACAGGAUCCUAAUGUUGGGACCUCAGGUAUCAUCUAGUUCAACACUCUCUUUUUAAAUGUUUUUGGUGGUUAUCUAAUAUGUUUUUUAUUUCCAAUUUUUCUUUCUGCCUUCUACCUACCCUCCCAUCCUUGCUCUUUGAUUAGCUAAGCUGGAAGUUCUCAAAUUUUUGGUCUCAGGACUGUAAAUUUUUAUAAACACACCUAAAAAUUGUUGAUGACCCCAAAGAGGUUUUGAUCAUGUGGGUUUCACUAUCAAUAUUUUAGAAGCUAAAAUUGAGAAAUUUUAAAAAUAUUUGUUACCUCAUUUAAAACAGUAAGUCCACUACAUGUUAACAUAGAUUAUAUAAUAUAGCCCACUGUGUGUGCAGGUGUCAUCUGGCCCUCUUCACAUUGCCCUGUGGGAAAUGGGGUUCAGAAGACCAGCACAAAUGUUGAUACUCUGUCUACUGCUAUGGCCUUGGGUAAUAAAC
This is a long non-coding RNA of Equus asinus (donkey), 1929 nucleotides long. Lineage: Eukaryota; Metazoa; Chordata; Mammalia; Perissodactyla; Equidae. The record is from Ensembl.